GGCUCAGGACGAACGCUGGCGGCGUGCUUAACACAUGCAAGUCGAACGCUGAAGCUUGGUGCUUGCACUGGGUGGAUGAGUGGCGAACGGGUGAGUAAUACGUGAGUAACCUGCCCUUGACUCUGGGAUAAGCCUGGGAAACUGGGUCUAAUACUGGAUAYGACAUGUCACCGCAUGGUGGUGUGUGGAAAGGGUUUUACUGGUUUUGGAUGGGCUCACGGCCUAUCAGCUUGUUGGUGGGGUAAUGGCUCACCAAGGCGACGACGGGUAGCCGGCCUGAGAGGGUGACCGGCCACACUGGGACUGAGACACGGCCCAGACUCCUACGGGAGGCAGCAGUGGGGAAUAUUGCACAAUGGGCGGAAGCCUGAUGCAGCGACGCCGCGUGAGGGAUGACGGCCUUCGGGUUGUAAACCUCUUUCAGCACGGAAGAAGCGAAAGU
Molecule: ribosomal RNA, 442 nt
Filed under: Kocuria sp. R-46308
Lineage: Bacteria; Bacillati; Actinomycetota; Actinomycetes; Micrococcales; Micrococcaceae
Description: bacterial SSU rRNA
Rfam family: Bacterial small subunit ribosomal RNA
Source: RNAcentral